UACGAAGGGGGCUAGCGUUGCUCGGAAUGACUGGGCGUAAAGGGCGCGUAGGCGGAUUGUCCAGUCAGGCGUGAAAUUCCCGGGCUCAACCUGGGGGCUGCGCUUGAGACGUGCGAUCUUGAGUGGGGAAGAGGGUCGUGGAAUUCCCAGUGUAGAGGUGAAAUUCGUAGAUAUUGGGAAGAACACCGGUGGCGAAGGCGGCGACCUGGUCCUUGACUGACGCUGAGGCGCGAAAGCGUGGGGAGCAAACAGG
RNAcentral lists this ribosomal RNA (253 nucleotides) under uncultured bacterium. RNAcentral's name for it is "partial 16S ribosomal RNA". It matches the Rfam family "Bacterial small subunit ribosomal RNA", at positions 524 to 776 of the family's 1533-position model. The record is from RNAcentral.